This 546-nucleotide ribosomal RNA is filed under the name uncultured bacterium. RNAcentral's name for it is "bacterial SSU rRNA". It matches the Rfam family "Bacterial small subunit ribosomal RNA", at positions 953 to 1503 of the family's 1533-position model. The record is from RNAcentral.
GAUGCAACGCGAAAAACCUUACCCACCUUUGACAUGUAUGGAAUCCUUUAGAGAUAGAGGAGUGCUCGAAAGAGAGCCAUAACACAGGUGCUGCAUGGCUGUCGUCAGCUCGUGUCAUGAGAUGUUGGGUUAAGUCCCGCAACGAGCGCAACCCUUGCCAUUAGUUGCUACGAAAGGGCACUCUAAUGGGACUGCCGGUGACAAACCGGAGGAAGGUGGGGAUGACGUCAAGUCCUCAUGGCCCUUAUAGGUGGGGCUACACACGUCAUACAAUGGCUGGUACAGAGGGUUGCCAACCCGCGAGGGGGAGCCAAUCCCAUAAAGCCAGUCGUAGUCCGGAUCGCAGUCUGCAACUCGACUGCGUGAAGUCGGAAUCGCUAGUAAUCGCGGAUCAGAAUGUCGCGGUGAAUACGUUCCCGGGUCUUGUACACACCGCCCGUCACACCAUGGGAGCGGGUUCUGCCAGAAGUAGUUAGCCUAACCGCAAGGAGGGCGAUUACCACGGCAGGGUUCGUGACUGGGGUGAAGUCGUAACAAGGUAACCGU